Molecule: unclassified non-coding RNA, 21 nt
Filed under: Leishmania tarentolae
Lineage: Eukaryota; Euglenozoa; Kinetoplastea; Trypanosomatida; Trypanosomatidae
Source: RNAcentral
AUAGAUUAUAUACCUAUAUAA